This is a small nuclear RNA of Suricata suricatta (meerkat), 107 nucleotides long. Lineage: Eukaryota; Metazoa; Chordata; Mammalia; Carnivora; Herpestidae. The record is from Ensembl.
GUGCUCACUUUGGCAACACAUAUACUAAAAUUGGAAUAAUACAGAGAAGAUUAGUGUGGCCCUUGUGCAAGGAUGACAUGUAAAUUUGUGAAGCAUUCCAUAUUUUG